AUUGAACGCUGGCGGCAUGCCUUACACAUGCAAGUCGAACGGCAGCGGGGGAGAAGCUUGCUUUUCCUGCCGGCGAGUGGCGAACGGGUGAGUAAUACAUCGGAACGUGCCCUGUAGUGGGGGAUAACUAGUCGAAAGAUUAGCUAAUACCGCAUACGACCUGAGGGUGAAAGUGGGGGACCGCAAGGCCUCAUGCUAUAGGAGCGGCCGAUGUCUGAUUAGCUAGUUGGUGGGGUAAAGGCCUACCAAGGCGACGAUCAGUAGCUGGUCUGGGAGGACGAUCAGCCACACUGGGACUGAGACACGGCCCAGACUCCUACGGGAGGCAGCAGUGGGGAAUUUUGGACAAUGGGCGAAAGCCUGAUUCAGCAAUGCCGCGUGUGUGAAGAAGGCCUUCGGGUUGUAAAGCACUUUUGUCCGGAAAGAAAUGGCUCUGGUUAAUACCUGGGGUCGAUGACGGUACCGGAAGAAUAAGGACCAGCUAACUACGUGCCAGCAGCCGCCGUAA
Molecule: ribosomal RNA, 508 nt
Filed under: uncultured bacterium
Lineage: Bacteria
Description: partial 16S ribosomal RNA
Rfam family: Bacterial small subunit ribosomal RNA
Source: RNAcentral